This is a non-coding RNA of Chrysemys picta bellii (western painted turtle), 2886 nucleotides long. NCBI's taxonomy places the organism in Eukaryota, Metazoa, Chordata, Testudines, Emydidae. The record is from RefSeq and is a predicted model, not a curated record.
UCGGGCCGGCGGCCGGGCGGGGGAGGGGCGCCAGCCUAUUGGUUUCGCUUCCAGGGAACCGCAAGUGCCAGUUCAAAGGAACCCUGGCGCGGGCCCGGAGCAGCCCGCCCCGCCCCGCCGCUUCCUCAGAACAGCCGCGCCCUGGGCGCUCCCGCGAGCCUGCCUCGCGCCGGGCUCGGGCCGCGGCCGGCGGUAGCCCGGCUCCUGGCGCGCCUCGGAGAGCCGCGGCGGGACCGCGUCCUGCCAGCCCCGCAGAGGCCCGGGGCUGUGGGGGCGCGAAGCCUCCAGUCCGGAGCCCUGCGGGAAGCGGCCGCUGCAGGCAGGUUGGCCCCCGCCUGUGGGCGGUGCAGCGCAGGGAGGGCUCCUGGGCGGCCUGCUUAGGCAUCCUAAGCCUCUGGCCAUCAUCACCCAGCCUCUUGCUCCGUAAUAAAGGGGGGGCUCGCCUCCCCCAUCCCCCCUUUGCCUCGUGGCUCUGGGCAAACAGGGCUCCCAGUUGCCAGUAAGAGGUGGCUAAAAUCAUGUUGGGGAAACUGAGGCAGGAGGAAAUGCUGGAGGGGGAAGGGUGGCGGGAUGGUAACGCACCACAGCACCAGAGACAGGUAAUAGAGAUGUGUAGCGACGCGAGGACCAGGCCGCUGGUGCAGGCUAUGAAUGUACUGGGGCGAACACAGGAGCAGAAGCCAAGAAAACAAGAGCAACGCGCUGGGGUGGAACUUCUAGUGCAAGGGCAGAGGGCUCCUCAAAGGUAGCUGGUCAACAUGGAUGCCCUGGUGAUUAGCACUGCAGUGCCGGCUCCAGCUUUUUUGCCGUCCCAAGCGGCGAAAAAAAAAGAGAAGAACCCGAUCAGGCUGCCGCAGAAGUGCCGCCGAGGAGCAAGACAGCGAGUGAAGGACCCUCCACCGAGUUUCCACCGAUCCAGAGCGGGCCGAUUGAGCUGCCACCGCCACCGAUCCGGACGGUGCUGCCCAACGCAUUGCCGCCCCUUUCCAUUGGCCGCCCCAGGCACCUGCUUCCUUCGCUGGUGCCUGGAGCCGGUCCUGCCUGCAGGCUACAACUUGUUUCUCCCAUAUGUUUUGUGGCUUUGUACAAUGAGAGGUAGAAAUUAUGGAGACACCAAUCCUCUAUGCUGAAGAUUUGGGUUGAGUUUUGCACUUAAAGCAGAGUUUUAACAUCUUUGAUAUAUAUGAAAACUACAGCACAUCCUCCACAAAAUAAAGCGCUUACCGUAUGAGCACAGAAUGAAUAAACAGUGAUCUUUCAUGCCUGCAGGGUGCACGUGCUUUGGGAUGUAUGCUUUCCGUCUGACAGAGGAGCCUGGUGUUCUGAGGUGGCUGUUACCUGUUGUGAGCAAUUGCAGGAGUGAGAUUUUUUUCCCCCUUAAUGGUAGCUGUGGUCUUCUGGGACCAUACAAAAGUAUGCUUUCCGUCUGACAGAAGGGUGCUGGUAUCACCCAUGAAUUCCUAGUCUGGGAUCAAUUUAAGGGAAUGUGUUUUCUGCUUGUUCUUGAGUGUAAAUAUUCCUUUCAAAGUCCUUCCCCAUCACAGGCAGGACUAACAUGAUGGUGAUGUCAUGGUUUGCAAAGAAUUCAGUGUUAAACUUGUAGAUUCACACUGUGGUAUUUAGACCUUGAUCUUCAAAGGCAUUUAGGCAACUAACUCCACCUGAAAUAAUUAUCUUUGAGGAUCUGGGCCUUAGUUACCUAAAGAGGCUCCUGGUGGUUUUGUUCCAUAUUUGGAUGGUAGAUAUAACAAACCAACUCAGUAUGAAUUGUAUGUAUUGUAAUCAAAUAUACAAAUCAUCCUCUUCCAAAGAAUUUCUGAGCAAUUGAGCUUCAUGUUUGCUUUUUGUGAAUAUUCAUGCUAGUGAAGCUCAAGUGUGUGAAUACUGUGGAAAAAGUAUGCAAAAGUAUCAGGAACAUGGUGAACUGAAAUUUUCUUUUGAAUUUGAAUAUAUGUUAGUGGAAAUUGGUUUGCAUUGUUUUCUUAGCUGUAGUGAGCACAGUCAUCACAACGGAGCUGAUCUAUUGGGUGACUGUCGCUGAGGAUUAUCUUUUAUUUGUAUUGUGGUUGCAUCUAGAGUCCCCAGCCAGUAUUAGAACCCCAUUGUGCUAAGUGCUCUAGGAACCUAUAUAGUAAGACGUGGUCCCUGCACCAAAGAGCUAACAAUCUAAUUAGAUCAGGCAGACAAAGGACUUGAGGGUAAAGAGAUGUGAAGUGACUUGCCCAGCCACAGGGUCAUACAAAAGGUCAGUAGUAGAGCUCAGAUCUCCUCAGUCCUAGCCAAUGCUGUAUCCACAUAACCAUGUACCUCUGGAGCAUGGAGUUGGAGUGUUGCUUCUCAUUUCCCCUCAGGUAUGGGGCAGCUUUUGCAUUGCAGCCAUCAUGCAGCGUAAGAGGAAAAUGUUACAAGCAUCUUCCAAUUGCUAUAAAAGCUAUAUGCGGCUAGCUAUAGGCAAACAAGAUCAGGUGAGAGGAAGGGGACAGCUGCUGUGUUUUUUUUUCUGCUGCAGACUGCAGGGGAAAAAUCCCUGGUGUGCGUGUGUAGGUACAUCAUCAGGCACUGGGUAGAACAGCAAGCAAAGGUCUCUCCAGAAGGGAAACAAGCAGGACUGCCCGAAAAGAAGGUGACCAGAUAUUUAAAAUGAAAAACAGACUACCAGAAUUUUGUUGUUGGAGAGAGGAGUGGAGAAGAUGCUCAUGAGAGGGUUUCGCCUGCUGGAGUGGACAAGGUCAUAUUUCACCCACUAGAGCAGAGGUUCUCGUGACAAAUUUUUUGGUGGCUUCAGAGUGCGGCCAUCAACUCUUGCUGGUGGCCACACUGACGCUUUUCCCUAAAAUUCUUAAUUAAUUUUAGGAAAAACAAAUAAAGAUGCAUGUAUACACAUCC